GACAGCAAUCACUUUUCGGCGGUGUAGGUGGACCCUGCUGGCCAAUAGUGGCUCCAGGUGAGAGCAGCGGGCCACAGAGUGGCGUCAGCGUCCGCGCGAACCUAACAACCGUGGAGACGAUGGAGAGCAAGCAAAGCCAGGUGCUGAACCUUGUGCGGGUGCAGGAGCUGGAAACCUGGCUGAAAUCAACCAAUACAAAGCUGACUCAAGUUAACGGCCAGAGGAAGUAUGGAGGACCACCUGAGGGACGUAACAUGAUGCAUUCUUGGUUGUUUUGCUACUCUACACUUUGCGACAACGUUAG
Micropterus salmoides (largemouth bass) is the source of this 304-nucleotide long non-coding RNA. RefSeq lists it as uncharacterized. The record is from RefSeq and is a predicted model, not a curated record. The transcript is spliced from 3 exons. NCBI's taxonomy places the organism in Eukaryota, Metazoa, Chordata, Actinopteri, Centrarchiformes, Centrarchidae.